CUCUAGGGUAUUUGGGGGUACAUACUGUACUGUAGUAUCCAAAUGGCUAGCUGCAUCAUUUUGACCAUGGCUGUUUUCCUUCCCCUACAGAUAACAUGACAAGUGGAUCAAACGUGCCUUGUGCUGCUGCUCUGUGGACUGAGGAGGGGAGAGGGGCUGGAGCCACUCUGAUCUUUUCUUCACUAGAUCGUCAUCUUGCGCUGGGUGGUCGCUGGAAAAAGGAAGCUCCAAUAAACACCGGCCUUGUGCUGAUUGGUCAAGUUGGGCAGACCAUUGUGAAACAUCUGCGGCCAAUUACAGCAUGGCGUGCAAGCCAUCAACGCAGCCUCUGGCCAGGACGAGCCAAAUGGAAAGAGAUCACUGGUGUCCAGAGAGGAAAGCAACGGCGGACAAGAAAGAGUGUUGAGAGGAAGCCUUUGAAUGGAUCCAACUGUCCAAUUGCAUCCGUCUGCCAGAUAAACGCAGCCUUUGUGUGCAUGUUAGCUGCUGGCAGCCAGUGAGCAGGUAAGAGAUGAAAGAGGGCCCGUGCAGGUUGGCCAUGUGCAGGAUGUGAACACUGAGCGCACAUUCACACUUUACAGGACUCUCACAAGCACACACGCACACUUUACAGGACUCUCAGCAAGCACACACGCACACUACAGGACUCACAAGCACACACACACACUUUACAGGACUCUCAGCACACACACUUUACAGGACUCUCACAAGCACACACAUACACUUUACAGGACUCUCAGCAAGCACACACGCACACUUCACAGGACUCUCACAAGCACACACACACACUUUACAGGACUCUCAGCAAGCACACACGCACACUUUACAGGACUCUCAGCAAGCACACACGCACACUACAGGACUCACAAGCACACACACACACACACUUUACAGGACUCUCACAAGCACACACACACACUUUACAGGACUCUCACAAGCACACACACACACUUUACAGGACUCUCAGCAAGCACACACGCACACUACAGGACUCACAAGCACACACACACACUUUACAGGACUCUCAGCACGCACACUUCACAGGACUCUCACAAGCACACACGCACACUUUACAGGACUCUCACAAGCACACACACACACUUUACAGGACUCUCACAAGCACACACGUACACUUCACAGGACUCUCACAAGCACACACGCACACUUUACAGGACUCUCACAAGCACACACACACACUUUACCGGACUCUCAGCAAGCUCAGGCUGCUGAAUCUGUGAUUGUACAUGAGUAAGUUGGUGAGGCCACACAUAUGUUGUGGACUGUAGGAAAUGAACCCUGUCGAUAUGCAGGGGUCUAUUGAACUUCAAGUGCUUCUUUCCUCCUGUCCCCUGUCUGCAUUUCAUCAUGUUUUUGCACAAUGUAUGCUUACAGAUUUUCAGAAGGAGUUUGGGUCAUGGAAUGUAUCUGGGUGUUGAUAAUCUCUCAUUAUAAACCAGUAAGUGAUUAUUUAUCUUUCCAGAGGUGGCCAGAUGUUAAGCACAAACCUGUUGUUGCUCCUUAGCUUGCUGCUGGUAGUCACAUCAGAAGCUAAUGAGGCUAAUCAUGCAGUGAAGCCUUCAGCCCCCGCUUACUAAAGCACCUCAGAGUUCUACACUAUGGGUUCCCUCUCUGUCCGACACACAAACACCCACGUGUACACACACACACUUCACUUGAGUAUAGUUCACAGAUGUUUCCCAUGUGAAAUAAAAUCUCACUGCCUUGUG
This is a long non-coding RNA of Sardina pilchardus (European sardine), 1727 nucleotides long. RefSeq lists it as uncharacterized. The transcript is spliced from 2 exons. Lineage: Eukaryota; Metazoa; Chordata; Actinopteri; Clupeiformes; Clupeidae. The record is from RefSeq and is a predicted model, not a curated record.